UCCGUAGGUGACCCUGGGAAAGGAUCAUAG
RNAcentral lists this ribosomal RNA (30 nucleotides) under Tulasnella sp. Ag3b. Its description in RNAcentral is "Epulorhiza sp. Ag3b partial 18S ribosomal RNA". The record is from RNAcentral. Lineage: Eukaryota; Fungi; Basidiomycota; Agaricomycetes; Cantharellales; Tulasnellaceae.